Molecule: transfer RNA, 57 nt
Filed under: Bos taurus (domestic cattle)
Lineage: Eukaryota; Metazoa; Chordata; Mammalia; Artiodactyla; Bovidae
Also listed under: 2 other names
Rfam family: tRNA
About the family: Transfer RNA (tRNA) molecules are approximately 80 nucleotides in length. Their secondary structure includes four short double-helical elements and three loops (D, anti-codon, and T loops).
Source: Rfam by way of RNAcentral
UAGCUCAGUCAGUAAAGAAUCUGCCUGUAAUGCAGGAGACCCAGGUUCAAUUCCUGG